UACGGAGGGUGCGAGCGUUGUCCGGAAUCACUGGGCGUAAAGGGUGCGUAGGCGGCGCGGUAAGUCGGGUGUGAAAUCUCGGAGCUUAACUCCGAAACUGCAUUUGAUACUGCGGUGCUUGAGGACUGGAGAGGAGACUGGAAUUCACGGUGUAGCAGUGAAAUGCGUAGAUAUCGUGAGGAAGACCAGUGGCGAAGGCGGGUCUCUGGACAGUUCCUGACACUGAGGCACGAAGGCUAGGGGAGCAAACGGG
Molecule: ribosomal RNA, 253 nt
Filed under: uncultured bacterium
Lineage: Bacteria
Description: partial 16S ribosomal RNA
Rfam family: Bacterial small subunit ribosomal RNA
Source: RNAcentral